UACAGAGGAGCCAAGCGUUGUUCGGAUUUACUGGGCUUAAAGAGUUCGUAGGCGGUUCGGUAAGUGAGGUGUGAAAGCCCUCGGCUCAACCGAGGAAUUGCGCUUCAAACUGCCGGGCUCGAGGGAGAUAGAGGUGAGCGGAACUGAUGGUGGAGCGGUGAAAUGCGUUGAUAUCAUCAGGAACACCAGAGGCGAAGGCGGCUCACUGGGUCUCUUCUGACGCUGAGGAACGAAAGCUAGGGGAGCAAACGGG
This 253-nucleotide ribosomal RNA is filed under the name uncultured bacterium. Its description in RNAcentral is "partial 16S ribosomal RNA". It matches the Rfam family "Bacterial small subunit ribosomal RNA", at positions 524 to 776 of the family's 1533-position model. The record is from RNAcentral.